UAUAUACAGUCUGCCAGCCGCUGAUAGUGGAGAGACGAAGAAGACGCUGCAGAGCUCAGUCUGUCGCUGUCUCCCUCGGUGGGAACUCUGGAGACUUUAAUGGUCACUUUUAACACCACGUCCUGAUUGGCCCUGAUUCCACUGAGGUCUUCAAACCAGUGACAUCACUGCUCGUCUGGACUUAAAUAAGGUACUGAUCCUCAGACACUGACAUCAUCUGCCUGUUGUCUCUCUUUCAUUGUGUAUAUGUUUUAAAGAAUUCUCGUCUUUGCUCUGACUUUCAAAUAAAACUCUGAAUUUUAAA
Platichthys flesus (European flounder) is the source of this 304-nucleotide long non-coding RNA. RefSeq lists it as uncharacterized. NCBI's taxonomy places the organism in Eukaryota, Metazoa, Chordata, Actinopteri, Pleuronectiformes, Pleuronectidae. The transcript is spliced from 4 exons. The record is from RefSeq and is a predicted model, not a curated record.